AUUCAAACAGAACAUAUAUUACACUGGAGGAAAACUUUGUCCAUAAGUCUUGGAGGUCCAGACUUUCAAGCCUUUUAUGUACUUGCCCUUAUAUUUACAUUGCCAUGCCAUAUUAAGCAAAGAACAAGCUGCUGGAUGACAAUCAGUCAGGCUUCAAAAGUGGACACUCCACCGAGACUGCCCUGCUGUCUGUCACUGAGUCGCUGAGACAGGUGAAAGCUGAAUCCAGAUCAUCCGUCCUGAUACUACAGGACCUUUCUGCAGCCUUCGACACAGUCAACCAUCAGAUCAUACUAUCCACCCUCUCUUCCCUGGGCAUCACAGGAACUGUGCUUGACUGGUUUCAUUCCUAUCUCUCAGUGUUGCCGUUGGCAUCUGGUUGGUUGUUGCUGAUUCGACUGGGUGGGGCUUGUACUUCGGGUCCUCGGAAUCUCUCCAGGAAAGAAUCUGGUCUCUCCUCCUCCUCUAUCAGACUUCUGUGUGCCCAGUCUCUCAGAG
Myxocyprinus asiaticus (Chinese sucker) is the source of this 498-nucleotide long non-coding RNA. RefSeq lists it as uncharacterized. The record is from RefSeq and is a predicted model, not a curated record. Lineage: Eukaryota; Metazoa; Chordata; Actinopteri; Cypriniformes; Catostomidae. The transcript has 3 exons.